GACGAACGCUGGCGGCGUGCCUAACACAUGCAAGUCGAACGAGAAUCUUUGAACAGAACUUUUCGGAGUGACGUUCAAAGAGGAAAGUGGCGGACGGGCGAGUAACGCGUGAGUAACCUGCCCAUAAGAGGGGGAUAAUCCAUGGAAACGUGGACUAAUACCGCAUAUUGUAGUUAAGUUGCAUGACUUGAUUAUGAAAGAUUUAUCGCUUAUGGAUGGACUCGCGUCAGAUUAGAUAGUUGGUGAGGUAACGGCUCACCAAGUCAACGAUCUGUAGCCGAACUGAGAGGUUGAUCGGCCGCAUUGGGACUGAGACACGGCCCAGACUCCUACGGGAGGCAGCAGUGGGGAAUAUUGCGCAAUGGGGGCAACCCUGACGCAGCAACGCCGCGUGCAGGAAGAAGGUCUUCGGAUUGUAAACUGUUGUCGCAAGGGAAGAAGACAGUGACGGUACCUUGUGAGAAAGUCACGGCUA
RNAcentral lists this ribosomal RNA (475 nucleotides) under uncultured bacterium. RNAcentral's name for it is "bacterial SSU rRNA". It matches the Rfam family "Bacterial small subunit ribosomal RNA", at positions 28 to 499 of the family's 1533-position model. The record is from RNAcentral.